UAUCUAAGUAACCAGAGGAAAAGAAAUCAACCGAGAUUCCGUAAGUAGCGACGAGCGAACGCGGACUAGCCCUUAAGCUGAUUUGGUUCUAGGAAAACGCUCUGGAAAGAGCGGCCAUAGAAGGUGAUAGCCCUGUAUCUGAAAGGGCCAUUCCAGUGAAGACGAGUAGGGCGGGGCACGUGAAACCCUGUCUGAACAUGGGGGGACCAUCCUCCAAGGCUAAAUACUACUGACCGACCGAUAGUGAACCAGUACCGUGAGGGAAAGGCGAAAAGAACCCCGGAGAGGGGAGUGAAAUAGAACCUGAAACCGUGUGCGUACAAGCAGUAGGAGCUCCGCAAGGAGUGACUGCGUACCUUUUGUAUAAUGGGUCAGCGACUUACUGUUCGUGGCAAGCUUAACCGUAUAGGGGAGGCGAAGGGAAACCGAGUCUGAUAAGGGCGCAUAGUCGCGGGCAGUAGACCCG
RNAcentral lists this ribosomal RNA (466 nucleotides) under Salmonella enterica subsp. enterica serovar Kentucky. Its description in RNAcentral is "partial 23S ribosomal RNA". It matches the Rfam family "Bacterial large subunit ribosomal RNA", at positions 199 to 717 of the family's 2925-position model. The record is from RNAcentral. Lineage: Bacteria; Pseudomonadati; Pseudomonadota; Gammaproteobacteria; Enterobacterales; Enterobacteriaceae.